CACUCCCACCCCAUUCACCUCUACCUACCCCCACCUUAACACCCUUCACCCACCCACACAUACAUACCCACCCCCACACACACCCACCCGCGCACACACACACACCAACCCACAAACACACACACAUACAUACCCACCCACACACUCACCCACUCGCACACACCAACCCACAAACACACACACACAUACAUACCCACCCACACACACACCCACCCACGCGCGCACACACACACACUAACCCACAAACACACACACAUACAUACCCACCCACCCACACACCCACCCGCGCACACACACACACCAACCCACAAACACACACACACACGUACAUACCCACCCACAUACUCACCCACCCGCACACACCAACCCACAAACACACACACACACAUACAUACCCACCCACGCGCACACACACACACACACCAACCCACAAACACACACACACAUGCAUACCCACCCAUCCACACACACACACACACAUAUACAUACCCACACACACACACCCGCACACACACAUACAUACCCACCCACACACACACACCCACCCGCACACACACACACCAACCCACAAACACACACACAUAUAUAUAUACCCACCCACCUACACACAUACCCGCACACACACACAUACAUACCCACCCACACACACACACCCGCACACACACACCAACCCACCUACACACACACACACCCUCCCGUACACACACACAUACAUACCCACCAACGCAGCCACACACACACACAAACACAUUCACACACCCCCACAAACACACACCCACACACACACAAACCCACACCUACNCCCCCCCCACACACACACAAACCCACACCCACCCCCACCCCCACCCCCACCCUCACAGACCCACACCCAUACACACACAAACCCACACAUACCCCCACAAACACACACAUACACACAUAAAAAC
This 926-nucleotide long non-coding RNA is filed under the name Lactuca sativa (garden lettuce). RNAcentral's name for it is "long non-coding RNA (LSAT_LNC004974)". Lineage: Eukaryota; Viridiplantae; Streptophyta; Magnoliopsida; Asterales; Asteraceae. The record is from RNAcentral.